RNAcentral lists this ribosomal RNA (499 nucleotides) under uncultured bacterium. RNAcentral's name for it is "partial 16S ribosomal RNA". It matches the Rfam family "Bacterial small subunit ribosomal RNA", at positions 28 to 507 of the family's 1533-position model. The record is from RNAcentral.
GACGAACGCUGGCGGCGUGCCUAAUACAUGCAAGUCGAGCGAAGUUUUUCUGGUGCUUGCACUAGAAAAACUUAGCGGCGAACGGGUGAGUAACACGUAAAGAACCUGCCUCAUAGACUGGGACAACUAUUGGAAACGAUAGCUAAUACCGGAUAACAGUAUUUCUCGCAUGAGGGAUAUUUAAAAGUUGGUUAUGCUAACACUAUGAGAUGGCUUUGCGGUGCAUUAGCUAGUUGGUGGGGUAAAGGCCCACCAAGGCGACGAUGCAUAGCCGACCUGAGAGGGUGAUAGGCCACACUGGGACCGAGACACGGCCCAGACUCCUACGGGAGGCAGCAGUAGGGAAUCUUCCGCAAUGGGCGAAAGCCUGACGGAGCAACGCCGCGUGAGUGAAGAAGGAUUUCGGUUCGUAAAGCUCUGUUGUUAGGGAAGAAUGGAUAUGUAGUAACUAUACAUGUAAGAGACGGUACCUAACCAGAAAGCCACGGCUAACUACGUG